Molecule: transfer RNA, 72 nt
Filed under: Bos taurus (domestic cattle)
Lineage: Eukaryota; Metazoa; Chordata; Mammalia; Artiodactyla; Bovidae
Also listed under: 5 other names
Rfam family: tRNA
About the family: Transfer RNA (tRNA) molecules are approximately 80 nucleotides in length.
Source: Rfam by way of RNAcentral
UCCCUGGUGGCUCAGAUGGUAAAGCGUCUGCCUGCAAUGCGGGAGACCUGGGUUCAAUUCCUGGGUCGGGAA